This 492-nucleotide ribosomal RNA is filed under the name uncultured bacterium. RNAcentral's name for it is "partial 16S ribosomal RNA". It matches the Rfam family "Bacterial small subunit ribosomal RNA", at positions 29 to 507 of the family's 1533-position model. The record is from RNAcentral.
AGUGAACGCUGGCGGUAGGCCUAACACAUGCAAGUCGAACGGCAGCACAGUAAGAGCUUGCUCUUACGGGUGGCGAGUGGCGGACGGGUGAGGAAUACAUCGGAAUCUACUUUUUCGUGGGGGAUAACGUAGGGAGACUUACGCUACUACCGCAUACGACCUACGGGUGAAAGCAGGGGAUCUUCGGACCUUGCGCGAUUGAAUGAGCCGAUGUCGGAUUAGCUAGUUGGCGGGGUAAAGGCCCACCAAGGCGACGAUCCGUAGCUGGUCUGAGAGGAUGAUCAGCCACACUGGAACUGAGACACGGUCCAGACUCCUACGGGAGGCAGCAGUGGGGAAUAUUGGACAAUGGGCGCAAGCCUGAUCCAGCCAUACCGCGUGGGUGAAGAAGGCCUUCGGGUUGUAAAGCCCUUUUGUUGGGAAAGAAAAGCAGCAGGUUAAUACCCCGCUGUUCUGACGGUACCCAAAGAAUAAGCACCGGCUAACUUCGUG